RNAcentral lists this transfer RNA (85 nucleotides) under Carboxydocella thermautotrophica. RNAcentral describes it as "tRNA-Leu". It matches the Rfam family "tRNA". From Rfam's summary of the family: Transfer RNA (tRNA) molecules are approximately 80 nucleotides in length. Their secondary structure includes four short double-helical elements and three loops (D, anti-codon, and T loops). Lineage: Bacteria; Bacillati; Bacillota; Clostridia; Eubacteriales; Clostridiales Family XVI. Incertae Sedis. The record is from RNAcentral. RNAcentral also lists the same sequence under 1 other name.
GCGGAAGUGGCGGAACCGGCAGACGCGCACGUUUGAGGGGCGUGUGGGGAAACCCGUGAGGGUUCAAGUCCCUCCUUCCGCACCA